RNAcentral lists this small RNA (2482 nucleotides) under Pan troglodytes (chimpanzee). RNAcentral's name for it is "retained intron". Lineage: Eukaryota; Metazoa; Chordata; Mammalia; Primates; Hominidae. The record is from RNAcentral.
GCUCGGCAGGCAGGACUGGGCCCCGGGGCGGUGCGCUGGGCUGCACCUCCCUCCCCGCGCCCUGUCCUCUCCCGCCCUACAGGCCCUAGCAGGGCAGGCGGGAGUCCGUAGUUCGUGGUCCUUCGCCGGUGUCCCCGGAGCCCAGCGGCUGUGGAUGGCAGAAGCCCAGAGUGGGACUGGUCAGCUGCAGGAGCAGAAGAAAGGUCUUCUGAUAGCCGUCAGCGCCUCCGUUGAUAAAAUCAUCUCGCAUUUCGGGGCCGCCCGGAACUUGGUGCAGAAGGUGAAGGUGGCUGGGGGGAGGCUGUUGGGAUGAGGAGAGUAAUGGAGCUCCGCGGGGGGUGCGGGAAUGGUUGGCGGGAGGUGGCUGGAGGGAUCUCUGGAGCCAUCGGCAUCGCGCCACCUCCAGGCCCAGUUGGGUGAUAGCCGGCUGAGCCCGGAUGUGGGGCACCUGGUGCUGACCACCCUCUGCCCGGCCCUCCACGCCCUGGUGGCGGACGGGCUGAAGCCUUUCCGGAAGGACCUCAUCACCGGGCAGCGCAGGAGCAGCCCCUGGAGCGUGGUGGAGGCGUCGGUGAAGCCAGGUGAGCCAGGAGGGCGUGGGACCCGGCAGUGCGCAGGGCAGGGCCGGGCUUGGCUGACUGCACCCCACGUUCUCAGGCUCCAGCACCCGCUCCCUUGGAACCCUGUAUAGCCAGGUCAGCCGUCUAGCCCCGCUGAGCAGCAGCCGUAGCCGCUUCCAUGCCUUUAUCCUGGGCCUCCUCAACACCAAGCAGUUGGAGCUGUGGUUUUCCAGUCUCCAGGAAGAUGCAGGUCAGAGGUUCAGAUGGUAGAGGAUGGGGCUGAUGGGCUGGGAGGAUGGGAAGGAAAGAGUUCUGCUGGUUCCCACUGCUGCCAGAAUGCCAUUAAUCCAGAUCUCCGAUCUUAUUACUCUUCUAAUUAAAACUUUCUAAGGAGGCCCAUCGCCCAUAGGAUGAAAGACCCAAAGCCUUGGCUGUCUGGCCUCUGCCCUCUUCCCCUGCCUUGGAGGGUCUUGCCAACAGUCUUCCCGCCUGGCCCUUCCUGCUCCAGGGCCCUGCUUAUGCUGUUCCUCUACCUUCUGCCCCUCCUGCUUCCUCAUGAACUAUCAUUCAUCCUUUGAGUCCUUCCCCAGUGAGGCCCUACCUCUACCCUCGGACUAGGCCAACCCCCACGCCUCAUUUUGUAUGUGCUUCUAUGGCUCUCCUGUCCUCCUCCUCUGUAGCCUUUGCACUGUCACUGUUACCUGUCACCACUUGCUGUGUGUGUCUUCCUAUUUGGGCUAGGUUCCAUGCAGGCGGGGAUGUCAGUCCUAUAAGCCCACCACAUCCUUCCUCCUCUCUGCCCCAGUGCCCAGCAGAGUGAGGCCUGGGAAGAUGUGUGCUGACCGGUGGGCUGCUCUGGGGGGUCUUCUGGGACUAGGUCCAGGGCAGGAGCUGAUGUUGGCCUGUUCUUUUCCAGGCCUGCUCUCCCUCCUGUACCUGCCAACAGGAUUUUUCUCCCUGGCCCGCGGUGGCUGUCCCUCCCUGUCCACAGAGCUGCUGCUCCUGCUGCAGCCAUUGUCGGUGCUCACUUUCCACCUGGACCUGCUCUUUGAGCACCACCACCACCUGCCCCUGGGCCCACCUCAGGCCCCUGCCCCUCCAGGCCCACCUCCAGCUCUGCAGCAGACUAUGCAAGCCAUGCUGCACUUUGGGGGCCGGCUGGCCCAGAGCCUUCGGGGGACUUCCAAGGAAGCUGCUUCAGACCCCUCUGACUCUCCAAACCUUCCCACACCAGGGAGCUGGUGGGAGCAGUUGACCCAGGCCUCCCGGGUCUAUGCCUCUGGGGGCACUGGGGGCUUUCCUCUUUCCCGAUGGGCACCGGGGCGUCAUGGGACUGCAGCUGAAGAAGGUGCACAGGAGAGACCCCUGCCCACAGAUGAGAUGGCACCAGGCAGGGGCCUCUGGUUGGGAAGACUAUUUGGAGUGCCUGGGGGCCCCGCAGAAAAUGAGAAUGGAGCCCUAAAGUCCAGGAGACCAUCUAGCUGGCUGCCCCCGACAGUGAGUGUGUUGGCUCUUGUGAAGCGGGGGGCACCUCCCGAGAUGCCUUCUCCUCAGGAGCUUGAGGCCUCAGCACCCAGGAUGGUGCAAACCCAUAGGGCAGUGCGGACUCUCUGUGAUCACACUGCUGCAAGACCUGACCAGUUGAGCUUCCGGCGUGGGGAAGUGCUGCGUGUCAUCACCACAGUGGAUGAGGACUGGCUCCGCUGUGGGCGGGAUGGCAUGGAGGGUCUGGUGCCUGUGGGGUAUACCUCCCUUGUUCUGUAGCCCUGGGACCCUUUCCUGCGUAUGUGUCUCCUUCCUGUCACCUGGGAAUGGAAUGGCCAGUGAACACCAUCCCAGAAGCAUUUUCCCUCUGCAAAAUGACAUUUCUUCCCAUGUCUGUUUCUGCUAAUAUUUAAAAUAAACUUUCCUUCUUCCCUCCU